CGCUAUCACUCCUACGGGAGGCAGCAGUGGGGGAAUAUUGCACAAUGGGCGCAAGCCUGAUGCAGCAACGCCGUGUGAGUGAAGAAGGUUUUCGGAUCGUAAAGCUCUGUCCUAAGGGAAGAAACAAAUGACGGUACCUUAGGAGGAAGCCCCGGCUAACUACGUGCCAGCAGCCGCGGUAAUACGUAGGGGCAAGCGUUAUCCGGAAUCACUGGGCGUAAAGGGUGCGUAGGCGGCUUAGCAAGCCAGGGGUGAAAGGCAUUGGCUCAACCAAUGUAAGCCUUUGGAACUGUUAAGCUUGAGUGCAGGAGAGGUAAGUGGAAUUCCUAGUGUAGAGGUGAAAUUCGUAGAUAUUAGGAGGAACACCAGUGGCGAAGGCGACUUACUGGACUGUAACUGACGCUGAUGCACGAAAGCGUGGGUAGCGAACAGGAUUAGAUACCCUGGUAG
This 450-nucleotide ribosomal RNA is filed under the name uncultured bacterium. RNAcentral's name for it is "bacterial SSU rRNA". It matches the Rfam family "Bacterial small subunit ribosomal RNA", at positions 328 to 793 of the family's 1533-position model. The record is from RNAcentral.